This 435-nucleotide long non-coding RNA is filed under the name Lactuca sativa (garden lettuce). Its description in RNAcentral is "long non-coding RNA (LSAT_LNC005259)". The record is from RNAcentral. Lineage: Eukaryota; Viridiplantae; Streptophyta; Magnoliopsida; Asterales; Asteraceae.
ACACGCGCUCCACCGAUCUAUGAUAAACAUUAAGUUACCCUUUGGCACUCUUACCAAUCCAGGUUAGUGUGUCGGUUACCCCCACACCCUCCACCAACGACUUGGGUGAGGUACAAAGUGUAAUUUCAUGGGUUAGCACCAAAUUCACAUUUUCCUAAAGUAACUAAGAUUGGGAAUUUAUAAAAGGUUUAGUUACAUUACAUGUAUCAUUAUACUUAUAAUGAGAAUUAUAUUCCUUAUCCUAGCACUCUUACCAAUCCAGGUUAGUGUGUCGGUUACCCCCACACCCUCCACCAACGACUUGGGUGAGGUACAAAGUGUAAUUUCAUGGGUUAGCACCAAAUUCACAUUUUCCUAAAGUAACUAAGAUUGGGAAUUUAUAAAAGGUUUAGUUACAUUACAUGUAUCAUUAUACUUAUAAUGAGAAUUAUAUUC